AGCGAACGCUGGCGGCAGGCCUAACACAUGCAAGUCGAACGCGCCCUUCGGGGCGAGUGGCGGACGGGUGAGUAACACGUGGGAACGUGCCCUUUGGUUCGGAAUAACUCAGGGAAACUUGAGCUAAUACCGGAUGAGCCCUACGGGGGAAAGAUUUAUCGCCGAAGGAGCGGCCCGCGUCUGAUUAGCUAGUUGGUGAGGUAAAGGCUCACCAAGGCGACGAUCAGUAGCUGGUCUGAGAGGAUGAUCAGCCACACUGGGACUGAGACACGGCCCAGACUCCUACGGGAGGCAGCAGUGGGGAAUCUUGCGCAAUGGGCGAAAGCCUGACGCAGCCAUGCCGCGUGGAUGAUGAAGGUCUUAGGAUUGUAAAAUCCUUUCACCGGGGACGAUAAUGACGGUACCCGGAGAAGAAGCCCCGGCUAACUUCGUGCCAGCCGCCGCAGUAACAC
Molecule: ribosomal RNA, 452 nt
Filed under: uncultured bacterium
Lineage: Bacteria
Description: bacterial SSU rRNA
Rfam family: Bacterial small subunit ribosomal RNA
Source: RNAcentral